Molecule: ribosomal RNA, 497 nt
Filed under: uncultured bacterium
Lineage: Bacteria
Description: partial 16S ribosomal RNA
Rfam family: Bacterial small subunit ribosomal RNA
Source: RNAcentral
GACGAACGCUGGCGGCGUGCCUAAUACAUGCAAGUUGAGCGCUGAAGGUUGGUACUUGUACCAACUGGAUGAGCAGCGAACGGGUGAGUAACGCGUGGGGAAUCUGCCUUUGAGCGGGGGACAACAUUUGGAAACGAAUGCUAAUACCGCAUAAAAACUUUAAACACAAGUUUUAAGUUUGAAAGAUGCAAUUGCAUCACUCAAAGAUGAUCCCGCGUUGUAUUAGCUAGUUGGUGAGGUAAAGGCUCACCAAGGCGAUGAUACAUAGCCGACCUGAGAGGGUGGUCGGCCACAAUGGGACUGGGACACGGCCCAAACUCCUAAGGGAGGCAGCAGUAGGGGAUCUUCGGCAAUGGACGGAAGGCUGACCGAGCAACGCCGCGGGAGGGAAGAAGGUUUUCGGAUCGUAAAAAUCUGUUGGUAGGGAAGAACGUUGGGGGGAGUGGAAAGCUCAUCAAGUGACGGUAACUACCCAGAAAGGGACGGCUAACUACGUG